GGGUGACUGAUCAUACCCACCAGCCGGCUAAUGUCAGAAUUAACAAAGUUGCUACUACAUCUGCAAAGUUUAAUCGAAAAAAUUUACCGAUGAUACGAUGGCAUCGUCACAGACAUCCCAAGGGACAGAGAGUCUACUUCUGCUCAAGGUGGAAAAAACCGUGCAGGCAAGAUGAGAAAUUCCAAACCAGCUCGACCAAA
Cavia aperea (Brazilian guinea pig) is the source of this 200-nucleotide unclassified non-coding RNA. The record is from Ensembl. Lineage: Eukaryota; Metazoa; Chordata; Mammalia; Rodentia; Caviidae.